CAGUAGCCACGGUAAUACGGAGGGUGCAAGCGUUAUCCGGAUUUAUUGGGUUUAAAGGGUCCGUAGGCGGAUCUGUAAGUCAGUGGUGAAAUCUCACAGCUUAACUGUGAAACUGCCAUUGAUACUGCAGGUCUUGAGUAAAUUUGAAGUGGCUGGAAUAAGUAGUGUAGCGGUGAAAUGCAUAGAUAUUACUUAGAACACCAAUUGCGAAGGCAGGUCACUAAGAUUUAACUGACGCUGAUGGACGAAAGCGUGGGGAGCGAACAGGAUUAGAUACCCCUGUAGUCCCUGUCUCUUAUAC
Molecule: ribosomal RNA, 301 nt
Filed under: uncultured bacterium
Lineage: Bacteria
Description: partial 16S ribosomal RNA
Rfam family: Bacterial small subunit ribosomal RNA
Source: RNAcentral